This 251-nucleotide ribosomal RNA is filed under the name uncultured bacterium. RNAcentral describes it as "partial 16S ribosomal RNA". It matches the Rfam family "Bacterial small subunit ribosomal RNA", at positions 524 to 775 of the family's 1533-position model. The record is from RNAcentral.
UACGGAGGAUGCGAGCGUUAUCCGGAUUUAUUGGGUUUAAAGGGUGCGUAGGCGGAAGGUUAAGUCAGCGGUCAAAUGUCGGUGCUCAACACCGGCCUGCCGUUGAAACUGGUCUUCUUGAGUGAGCGAGAAGUAUGCGGAAUGCGUGGUGUAGCGGUGAAAUGCAUAGAUAUCACGCAGAACUCCGAUUGCGAAGGCAGCAUACCGGCGCUCAACUGACGCUGAGGCACGAAAGCGUGGGGAUCGAACAG